UGUUCUGCCGCGCUUUAGCAAUAUAUCGU
This 29-nucleotide small RNA is filed under the name Bombyx mori (domestic silkworm). Its description in RNAcentral is "ovarian small RNA-36134". Lineage: Eukaryota; Metazoa; Arthropoda; Insecta; Lepidoptera; Bombycidae. The record is from RNAcentral.